UCUCCAAGGAGUGGGGUCUACGUGAC
This 26-nucleotide non-coding RNA is filed under the name Homo sapiens (human). The record is from RNAcentral. Lineage: Eukaryota; Metazoa; Chordata; Mammalia; Primates; Hominidae.